CUCAGAAUAACAUCUCAAGCACCAUCUCAACCACACGUGCAAAUGAAGAGUGUUGAGAAGUAUCUGAACCUGGAGCAGUCUACACUAAACACCUGGCCACCUCUCAGGAUUCUCAAAAAGCAAAUGAAGGGAAGUGUCAGGGAGCAAGUGGAGGGAAGAAGAAAGAAAAAGAGUCGAAGAAUGAAGAACCCCUCAGGGAGCAUUCACAGUGCCAAAGAGAUACUCAUUUUCAAGCACCAUCUGUCAAGAUCUACUCGGAGCUUUUUCUUUCUCUGUAUUUAUUCCCUCCCCCAGGUUUUACCAUCCCACUGCUUCAAUGGCUUGAGCAACAAAAUGUUAUCUUGAGACUGAGUAAACCACAGUGAGAGUCAACUCCAAUAGGCAUGGUUUGGAUGCUAGAGACAUUUGUCUGCAGUGAUAGACUUGCAACUUUCUUUCACUGCUGCUAUGGUACAAGUUUCAAGAAAGGAAAGAAAAAUAAAACUCUGAGAUUUGCCCCAAAAGUCUGGGUACACAUGCUGCAGCAUAAGGAGCAAACUGUUGGCAGAUGGCAUUAAAACACCACAGUUCCAUAAUUGAGUCUUAUAUUCAUACAUCCCUGCCAGUUUGGAAUCUAACUGCCAAUAAUACAAUACUGUGAUAUUGCCACAUCCAAUACAAUUGUAUGUUGCUGAAGUUACACUUAAAUCCGCCAGUAAAUUUUAUUCUCCCAGAGCAAAACAUUUUCUCUAUUC
RNAcentral lists this long non-coding RNA (734 nucleotides) under Gallus gallus (chicken). RNAcentral describes it as "lncRNA (ENSGALG00010023360.1)". The record is from RNAcentral. Lineage: Eukaryota; Metazoa; Chordata; Aves; Galliformes; Phasianidae.